This is a long non-coding RNA of Brassica napus (rape), 1596 nucleotides long. RefSeq lists it as uncharacterized. The record is from RefSeq and is a predicted model, not a curated record. The transcript has 3 exons. NCBI's taxonomy places the organism in Eukaryota, Viridiplantae, Streptophyta, Magnoliopsida, Brassicales, Brassicaceae.
AAUCAAAAUUUGACACAUGGCAUCUGUUUAAAAAAUUAAAAUUAAAAUGCAACAAAAAAUAAUGUUAGAUCCUAAAAUUUCUAAAAUUCGAAAUAACUAAACCCUAAAAUUUCUCACAUUAUCACUUCCACUUCUUGACAAAAAAAAUUCCACGUUCUAAAAUAACAGUUACGAUUUAAAACUGUUUUGUUCUUAUAUAAGUUUGACAAAACAGUUUUACUUUCUAUUAAGCUCCUUCUCUCUCCUUCUUCUCUCCUUUUGCUUUUCUAUUGUAUCAUAUUCUUCUUUUUUACGAUUAUUGAGUCCUUGACUAUAAAAAAAAAAAACAUAUGGGCUGAAAUUGGAUUACCUUUUUUUGGAAUAGAAAACUUUGGAAUGAUCAAUUCGAUUAGUUUCAUGAAUUCGUUUUACCAUUUAACGUGAAUGGAAUGAAAUGUUCAUUCCAUCAAUUUUUUAAAAAAAUAAACAAAAUACAAAACAAACAAUUCCAUAACAAUUUUGUUAAAGAAUAAAUUGAAUGGAUCUAUUCCAUUUUUCUACUGCAUUCCAUUCAUGUUAUUUCAUUCCUCCUAUUCCAUUUAUUCUUUUUUUGAUUCACCAGUUACAGCCAUGGUUUAUGUUUCAAAGCUUUCGAAAGCUUAAUUCUCCAAUAAAUAAAUGACAAAUCAAAGUUUUUUCAGCAACAAAGCAUUUCAAAGGAAAAAAGCACCGAUAUUAUAUAUUUCUUUUCUUUUAUUAUUUUAGAUGCUGAAGAACAUGAGAAGAAGGGAAGGAGAGUAAGAGGCUCACCUUAAAUCACACUUCCAUGGCCCCUAUAAAACUUGAGAAGUACAACAAGAAGAAAAGAAGAAAGGAAAAAUGUUGUGAUAAUUAGAAAUAAAAAAAUAGGGCAUAAGAAAUUCGGGUUGUAGGAGAAAGAAGACUUAUGUCUAUUAUCUAGAUUCGGUAAGUAUUCCAUAUUUUUCUUGUGUGUGUUUAACUGUUUAUAAUCUAUAAAAUGUGGUGAUAUCUUAUUUUUUUAUUCAAUAUACACUUCUGAUUUUUUUUUUCUUAAAUAGUUUUAUUGAAUUUGUAGAUUCCCUCAUAAAAAGAAAUGCCGAAGCAAAUAGCAUCAUUGUAUAAAAAGAAAUAUAAAAGAAUAUGACCAAAAAAAUAAACAUGAGUGAGAGAAUAAGAAAAUGACUACAAAAUAUAAUAACCUCAAAACUAAGUUGACAAAUUGUACUGUUGUAAGAUAUAUACUUUUGUUGUUCGAUCAUAUUUACUGAUUAUAUUGGUUUUGAAACAAUAUUAACAUUAUAUAUUUUGUGUCUAUAUUGAACUGUUGUAAAUUAUAAACAUCAAAAUUUUAAUGUUAUCUUAAUUAUAAAUUCUAAUAGUAUGUUCAAAAUAAACAUAUUUUAUAUUAGUGCCCGUACGUAGUAGUACGGGGGUAAUACUAGUUUAUGAAUUAUAUUUCUAUUUUUGUUCAUUAAUUAUCUUUUAUCUCCAUUAUUUGUAUGUGAUUGUAGAAACUACUAAUAAUAAUGAAAAAAUGGCAUGAGAUUCAAGCAAAUGAGAAGAGACUUACGGUCUUUAGACUUGUCGCUGUAUAGA